This 491-nucleotide ribosomal RNA is filed under the name uncultured bacterium. RNAcentral describes it as "partial 16S ribosomal RNA". It matches the Rfam family "Bacterial small subunit ribosomal RNA", at positions 29 to 507 of the family's 1533-position model. The record is from RNAcentral.
GUGAACGCUGGCGGUAGGCCUAACACAUGCAAGUCGAACGGCAGCACAGUAAGAGCUUGCUCUUACGGGUGGCGAGUGGCGGACGGGUGAGGAAUACAUCGGAAUCUACUUUUUCGUGGGGGAUAACGUAGGGAAACUUACGCUAAUACCGCAUACGACCUACGGGUGAAAGCAGGGGAUCUUCGGACCUUGCGCGAUUGAAUGAGCCGAUGUCGGAUUAGCUAGUUGGCGGGGUAAAGGCCCACCAAGGCGACGAUCCGUAGCUGGUCUGAGAGGAUGAUCAGCCACACUGGAACUGAGACACGGUCCAGACUCCUACGGGAGGCAGCAGUGGGGAAUAUUGGACAAUGGGCGCAAGCCUGAUCCAGCCAUACCGCGUGGGUGAAGAAAGCCUUCGGGUUGUAAAGCCCUUUUGUUGGGAAAGAAAAGCAGCAGGUUAAUACCCCGCUGUUCUGACGGUACCCAAAGAAUAAGCACCGGCUAACUUCGUG